Small nucleolar RNA from Eleginops maclovinus (Patagonian blennie), 135 nucleotides. RefSeq annotates it as small nucleolar RNA SNORA22. The transcript has a single exon. The record is from RefSeq and is a predicted model, not a curated record. NCBI's taxonomy places the organism in Eukaryota, Metazoa, Chordata, Actinopteri, Perciformes, Eleginopidae.
UUGCACAGAGAACACCCCAGGAUGCUAUCGUAGCUCCCCUGGUCUCUUGUUUCUGUGCCACAGUAAAUCUGAUCUGUACCUCUGCAUUAGGAGAGACCCCUCCUCACCAAAUGUAUUCAACGGAUCAGAAUAACA